Molecule: long non-coding RNA, 261 nt
Filed under: Carica papaya (papaya)
Lineage: Eukaryota; Viridiplantae; Streptophyta; Magnoliopsida; Brassicales; Caricaceae
Description: long non-coding RNA (CPAP_LNC011490)
Source: RNAcentral
UUGUUUCAAGUGAAGGCAUGUGCAUGGAGAACAAUUUUGGGCCUUAAGGGUUUAGGUGGGCCUAAGGCGGUCCAAAACAACUUGAAUAGGGCCCAAAUAUGGUAUGGAAGCUCAUGGAAGGAGGAUAAGGAUGGAAUACUCUAGAAUUACUUAAGGGUGAAGGAAGAGGGAAAGAGAGAAAAAUGGAUAAGCUUGAGGAAUUAAGGUAGCAACCUCACCAUUUGCCACCUAAACCCCUCUUGGUCGACCUUUUGGGAUUCC